The sequence is a regulatory RNA element, 102 nucleotides long. It matches the Rfam family "TPP riboswitch aptamer (THI element)". From Rfam's summary of the family: Vitamin B(1) in its active form thiamin pyrophosphate (TPP) is an essential coenzyme that is synthesised by coupling of pyrimidine and thiazole moieties in bacteria. The previously detected thiamin-regulatory element, thi box was extended, resulting in a new, highly conserved RNA secondary structure, the THI element, which is widely distributed in eubacteria and also occurs in some archaea. The record is from Rfam.
UUGUUCUUGUCGGGGUGCCAUUAUGGCUGAGAUUGGUAAUAACCAGAUCCCGUUGAACCUGAUCGGGUUAAGACCCGCGUAGGGAACAAGAUAAGCGUGUCA